This 387-nucleotide ribosomal RNA is filed under the name Triticum aestivum (bread wheat). Its description in RNAcentral is "partial small subunit ribosomal RNA". Lineage: Eukaryota; Viridiplantae; Streptophyta; Magnoliopsida; Poales; Poaceae. The record is from RNAcentral.
AUGGUGCUUGUAAAGUUUGUUCUUUCAGCAAUGCCAAUAUUCCUUCUGCUAGCUGUUCAUCAACCAAAAUGGGCCAACAAGAAAAUUGACAAACUACGUCGUGCUUUCUUAUGGGCUGGCUCCGAUGCCGUUUGUGGAGGCAAAUGCCUUGUCCGCUGGACCCAGGUGUGCUCACCCAUCUCCUUUGGCGGGCUGGUCAUCCAUGACCUACAAGCUCAGGGGCGAGCGCUUAAAGUUCGCUGGCUUUGGCAGCGCGCCACAGAUCCGGAUAAGCCAUGGCAAGGCCUGCAACUUCCUGUUGAUAAGCAUGUUAAGGCUCUUUUCAUUGCUUUUACCUCCAUCAAGAUUGGCAACGACAUUAGGAUCUCCUUUUGGCAUGAUCACUAG